CACGUAUUUAGCCGUCGCUUCUUCUGUUGGUACCGUCACUUUCUUCUUCCCAACUGAAAGCACUUUACAUUCCGAAAAACUUCAUCGUGCACACAGAAUUGCUGGAUCAGACUUUUGGUCCAUUGUCCAAUAUUCCCCACUGCUGCCUCCCGUAGGAGUAAGGGCCGUGUCUCAGUCCCCUUGUGGCCGUUCACCCUCUCAGGCCGGCUACCCAUCAUCGUCUUGGUGAGCCGUUACCUCACCAACUAACUAAUGGGACGCAAAGCUCUCUCGCAGCGCAUAUAGCUUUCAUAAUUAAAUCAUGCGAUUCAAUCAUAAUAUCCGGUAUUAGCGUCCGUUUCCAGACGUUGUCCCAGACUGCAAGGCAAGUUCUUUACGCGUUACUCACCCGUCCGCCACCAUCACCCGAAGGAUCAAGUAGACUUGCAUGUGUUAAGCAUUCUGUCAGCGUUCAUCCUGAGCCAGGAUCAAACUCU
This 476-nucleotide ribosomal RNA is filed under the name uncultured Fusobacteriaceae bacterium. Its description in RNAcentral is "partial 16S ribosomal RNA". The record is from RNAcentral. Lineage: Bacteria; Fusobacteriati; Fusobacteriota; Fusobacteriia; Fusobacteriales; Fusobacteriaceae.